CCUAUGGGGGGCAGCAGGCGCGCAAACUUUACAAUGCGAGCAAUCGUGAUAAGGAAACCCUGAGUGCCUGUCGAUGCAGGCUGUUCAUAUAUCUAAAUCAUAUGUGAAGAAAGGGCAGGGCAAGACCGGUGCCAGCCGCCGCGGUAAUACCGGCUGCUCGAGUGAUGGCCACUAUUACUGGGUUUAAAGCGUCCGUAGCUUGACUGUUAGGUCUCUUGGGAAAUCUUCGCGCUUAACGUGAAGGCGUCUAAGAGAUACCGGCAGUCUUGGAACUGGGAGAGGUAAACCGUACUUCGGGGGUAGGAGUGAAAUCUUGUAAUCCUCGAGGGACGACCUAUGGCGAAGGCAGUUUACCAGAACAGCUUCGACAGUGAGGGACGAAAGCUGGGGGAGCAAACGGGAUUAGAUACCCCCGUAGUCC
RNAcentral lists this ribosomal RNA (421 nucleotides) under uncultured Methanocorpusculum sp. Its description in RNAcentral is "bacterial SSU rRNA". It matches the Rfam family "Archaeal small subunit ribosomal RNA", at positions 322 to 747 of the family's 1478-position model. Lineage: Archaea; Methanobacteriati; Methanobacteriota; Methanomicrobia; Methanomicrobiales; Methanocorpusculaceae. The record is from RNAcentral.